GGCCGGUACUGGUGGCUGCUCUCGGUGGCGAUCGGGCUAGGGCUCUGAAUGAAGCAUUGCGUUUCUCUUUCUCGAAGGAGAUUUAGGUAGAGACGUAGCUGGGGGUGGCCGAAGAGGUUUGGAGCGCGAUGUCGUGGGCUCGACCGGAAGAUGUCUUUUCGAUCUCUCUUGCAAGCUACCUCGAUGGCUCAGCAAGUGGAAAGAGAUGCAAUGGAUCUGAAAGGUUGUGUGAGAAAAAGAAUGGAGUUCCUUUAUCUGGACUGGUUGCAAGCUCCACCUUCUCUAGUUCAUGUUCAUUACCAUUUUGGUGUGCUUAAAGCAUGUCAUUCCCUUCUUCUAAUGCAGAUGUAUCAGAGUGGCCAUGGAAAGCAUCUUUCUCUUCCCUUCUUCCUCCGCUAGUUCUGAUGAUAAAGUUGAAAAUUAGAUUUCAGAACAUUCUCUUUUGCUCCAUCACACUCCCCCCAAGGCAGUCCAAGUCCAAGUCCCGCAAUUUUGGAACGGGGUUGGUGAAACCCUUAUCCCUCCUCCUCUAAUUAUUCUCCCGAGCCCUCGUAUCCUGCCUCCACCCGUCUUCCCCAUCCGAUUCCUCUCGCGGAGACCUCCCGGUCGAUGCAAGCCUCGCCGACUCCUGUAGAGAAUCGGAGAUGCUCUCCCAGGACGCCAGGCUCCGCCACCUUCACCGCUACCGGCGGCGACUCCUCGUGGCUCUCCUGUCGCAUCGUACCCUCCUUGCGGUGCUGUGGACCGUGCUGUUCUCCGCGGUCGUCGUGUGGCAGAGCGGCGCCGUCGGCCGCCUCGGGUUAUUGCGGCGGCGGGCGCCGCCGCCGAGGCCGUGCCCCCGGCUCCGGCCUACGGUCUUCAAUCUGUCGGAUUUUGGGGGAGUCGGGGAUGGUGUCACAUUGAACACCCAGGCAUUUGAGAAAGCGGUGGAGGCCAUCAUGGAGUUUGGGGGAAGCGGCGGCGGGCAGCUCAACGUACCACCGGGAAUGUGGCUCACUGGUCCCUUUAAUCUAACUAGCCACAUGACGCUGUUCCUCGCCGAAGGGGCCGUGAUUAUGGGGAUUGAGGAUUAUAAGCAUUGGACCUUAAUGCCUCCACUGCCAUCAUAUGGACAAGGGAGGGAAUUGAAAGGGCCUCGAUACGGAAGUCUGAUUCAUGGACAAAAUCUUCGGGAUGUGGUUAUAACAGGAUAUAACGGUACCAUAAAUGGACAAGGUCAAACAUGGUGGCGAAGAUAUCGUCAAGGACUUCUGGAACACACCAGAGGACCUCUUGUGCAGCUUAUGUGGUCCAGAGAUAUUGUAAUUUCUAAUAUAACUUUACAAGAUUCUCCUUUUUGGACACUACAUCCCUAUGACUGCAGGAAUGUUACUAUUUCAAAUGUAACAAUUAUGGCCCCCCUUUACGAUGCUCCAAACACAGAUGGCAUAGAUCCUGAUUCAUGUGAGGACAUGGUAAUAGAGAACAGUUACAUUUCUGUAGGUGAUGAUGGAAUAGCAAUUAAGAGUGGUUGGGACCGGUAUGGAAUUGCCUAUGGACGACCAUCAACAAACAUAUUAGUUAAGAAUGUUGUUCUACGCUCCAAGAUGAGUGCUGGAGUAUCAAUAGGAAGUGAGAUGUCUGGUGGCAUCUCGAAUAUCAAGUUUGAAAACAUCCUUGUUUGGGACUCACGGCGUGGUGUGAGGAUCAAGACUGCUCCUGGGAGGGGUGGAUACAUUCACAACAUCUCCUAUAGCAACCUAACCUUCAAUAAUCUGAGUGCUGGUAUCGUGAUCAAGACCGACUACAAUGAGCACCCUGAUGAUGGCUUUGAUCCCAAAGCCAUUCCGACAAUCAGGAACUUGACCUUCCGUGGAGUUUAUGGUAAUAAUGUCCGCAUUCCAGUCCAGAUCCAAGGCAGUAAGGAGAUUCUUGUGAGAGGCAUCAGCUUCCAGGAUAUACAGGUGGGUCUUUCCUACAAAAAGAAGCGAACUUUCCGUUGCUCUUAUGUAGAGGGAUAUGCGGUCGGUCCAAUCUUCCCAGCACCAUGUGACAGCCUUGACCGCUGCCUGUGAGGUGAAGAAGUUAUUAAUCUGUACAAAUGAGCUCAUGCAAAUGUCGUGAGUUCUUUUUGCUGAUUUAUGGGCUUAAUAACAUCAUCGACAUCAUAUGAUGCUAUCAUAUUUCUCUUUGGAAUUUGAUUUUGCAGAUUUUGCAGGUGUGCAGCUUGGAUUUGGGCGUCAAAUCUAAUCCACCCACAAGUCAUUUCCUUCUUCCAUUCCUGGAACCUACACGUACGCCACA
Molecule: RNA transcript, 2283 nt
Organism: Musa acuminata AAA Group (dessert banana)
Lineage: Eukaryota; Viridiplantae; Streptophyta; Magnoliopsida; Zingiberales; Musaceae
Gene name: probable polygalacturonase
Exons: 10
Source: RefSeq, a predicted model, not a curated record